CGCAUCUGUGCAUGCAGCAUAUCAAUAAGCGGAGGAAAAGAAACUAACAAGGAUUCCCCUAGUAACGGCGAGUGAAGCGGGAAGAGCUCAAAUUUGAAAUCUUAAAGGGUUUCCCUUACGAAUUGUAGUUUAAAGAAGUGUUUUCUGUUAGUGGAGUUGGCUAAAAGUUCUUUGGAAUAGGACAUCAUAGAGGGUGAGAAUCCCGUAUUUGGUACAUUACCUUUCUAACUUUGUGAUACACUUUCAAAGAGUCGGAUUGUUUGGGAAUGCAGUCCAAAAUGGGUGGUAAAUUUCAUCUAAAGCUAAAUAUUGGCGAGAGACCGAUAGCGAACAAGUACCGUGAGGGAAAGAUGAAAAGAACUUUGAAAAGAGAGUUAAGCAGUACGUGAAAUUGUCAAAAGGGAAGCGUUUGACACCAGUGUUGUUUUUCUGAAAAUCAAUUAAAGAACUGUUUAUGCUAAGUUGUUUAGACUUUAUCAGCUAUCUGUUUAGUUUUGAGCUUUUCUUUAAUGCACUUUUCAGUUAACAAGUCAACAUCCAAUUUCUUUUGCUGUAAAAAAGCUUGAGGAAGGUGGCUUGAGAUUCGUCUUAAGUGUUUAUAGCCUCUUGCCUAUGCAGUCGGAGAGAUUGAGGUCUGCAGCGUAGAUCCUUCGGGGCUAAAUGCAUUUGUGCUAAGUUAUAGCAUUUUAUAGACAACUUGUUGACUAUGAUUUGUCUUGUAGCUUACUCGCUUAUGUUAUUUUACCUACGCUUAGGAUGUUGAGCGCAUGUCUCUCUCU
RNAcentral lists this ribosomal RNA (779 nucleotides) under uncultured Neocallimastigales. Its description in RNAcentral is "partial large subunit ribosomal RNA". It matches the Rfam family "Eukaryotic large subunit ribosomal RNA", at positions 26 to 616 of the family's 3401-position model. The record is from RNAcentral. Lineage: Eukaryota; Fungi; Neocallimastigomycota; Neocallimastigomycetes; Neocallimastigales.